CUUGUCUUAGUUUAAGGUAGAAUGAUAGUUUUGGGGAUUAUUGGUUUCUGGUAAGAAAGACUUGA
Molecule: transfer RNA, 65 nt
Filed under: Rhinebothroides sp. MZUSP 8013
Lineage: Eukaryota; Metazoa; Platyhelminthes; Cestoda; Rhinebothriidea; Rhinebothriidae
Also listed under: 3 other names
Description: tRNA-Pro
Source: RNAcentral